This 398-nucleotide ribosomal RNA is filed under the name uncultured bacterium. RNAcentral's name for it is "partial 16S ribosomal RNA". It matches the Rfam family "Bacterial small subunit ribosomal RNA", at positions 523 to 918 of the family's 1533-position model. The record is from RNAcentral.
AUACGUAGGGUGCGAGCGUUGUCCGGAAUUACUGGGCGUAAAGAGCUCGUAGGUGGUUUGUCGCGUCGUCUGUGAAAUUCCGGGGCUUAACUCCGGGCGUGCAGGCGAUACGGGCAUAACUUGAGUACUGUAGGGGAGACUGGAAUUCCUGGUGUAGCGGUGAAAUGCGCAGAUAUCAGGAGGAACACCGGUGGCGAAGGCGGGUCUCUGGGCAGUAACGGCCGCGGAGGAGGGAAAGCAUGGGUAGCGAACAGGAUUAGAUACCCUGGUAGUCCAUGCCGUAAACGGUGGGCGCUAGGUGUAGGGGUCUUCCACGACUUCUGUGCCGUAGCUAACGCAUUAAGCGCCCCGCCUGGGGAGUACGGCCGCAAGGCUAAAACUCAAAUGAAUUGACGGGG